Molecule: transfer RNA, 64 nt
Filed under: Bromius obscurus
Lineage: Eukaryota; Metazoa; Arthropoda; Insecta; Coleoptera; Chrysomelidae
Description: tRNA-Leu
Rfam family: tRNA
About the family: Transfer RNA (tRNA) molecules are approximately 80 nucleotides in length. Their secondary structure includes four short double-helical elements and three loops (D, anti-codon, and T loops). Further hydrogen bonds mediate the characteristic L-shaped molecular structure. tRNAs have two regions of fundamental functional importance: the anti-codon, which is responsible for specific mRNA codon recognition, and the 3' end, to which the tRNAs corresponding amino acid is attached (by aminoacyl-tRNA synthetases). tRNAs cope with the degeneracy of the genetic code in two manners: having more than one tRNA (with a specific anti-codon) for a particular amino acid; and 'wobble' base-pairing, i.e. permitting non-standard base-pairing at the 3rd anti-codon position.
Source: RNAcentral
UCUAAAAUGGCAGAAUAGUGCAUUGGACUUAAGAUCUAAAUAUAAAGUAAAACUUUUUUUAGAA